GGCUCGUUAGUCAAGCGGUUAAGACGUUGGCCUCUCACGCCGAAAACGGGGGUUCGAUUCCCCCACGAGUCACCA
RNAcentral lists this transfer RNA (75 nucleotides) under Eubacterium sp. CAG:115. Its description in RNAcentral is "transfer RNA-Glu(CTC)". It matches the Rfam family "tRNA". From Rfam's summary of the family: Transfer RNA (tRNA) molecules are approximately 80 nucleotides in length. Their secondary structure includes four short double-helical elements and three loops (D, anti-codon, and T loops). Further hydrogen bonds mediate the characteristic L-shaped molecular structure. tRNAs have two regions of fundamental functional importance: the anti-codon, which is responsible for specific mRNA codon recognition, and the 3' end, to which the tRNAs corresponding amino acid is attached (by aminoacyl-tRNA synthetases). tRNAs cope with the degeneracy of the genetic code in two manners: having more than one tRNA (with a specific anti-codon) for a particular amino acid; and 'wobble' base-pairing, i.e. permitting non-standard base-pairing at the 3rd anti-codon position. Lineage: Bacteria; Bacillati; Bacillota; Clostridia; Eubacteriales; Eubacteriaceae. RNAcentral also lists the same sequence under 2 other names. The record is from RNAcentral.